Helianthus annuus (common sunflower) is the source of this 876-nucleotide long non-coding RNA. RefSeq lists it as uncharacterized. The record is from RefSeq and is a predicted model, not a curated record. Lineage: Eukaryota; Viridiplantae; Streptophyta; Magnoliopsida; Asterales; Asteraceae. The transcript has 5 exons.
UUGACUUUUAGAAUCGGAAGUCAUCUCUCCAUGAGUCCAUCACCCACCCCAAUCGGUUCUCUCCCUCAACCUCCAUCGAUCGUCUUUCCUUAUUCGAUCGAUUCCGAUCCCCCAUACCUAACAGAUGGUCAUCUCUACCCAUCGAUUUCUACCAGCAUACGACUGAUAAAUCGCGGCUGAGUGACCGACGAACAACCACUGCACCAGCAGACGACCCAUCAUAACCGAUCGAUAGGAUCAUUUUUUCGCGACUCCUCGUUUCAGUUCUCACUUUAGCCCUGAGCAGUGUAAGGAACAAAUAGAGAACGCAGAGGAGAAAAAAUGCAUCCAAAGAAAACGAUGAAAAGAAGAAAAAGGAAGCCAAAGAAGCAAAGUCAAAGGAACAAAAAGUGAAAGAGAAGUUGUAGGAAGUAAAUCUGUUUAUGGCGCAGGGGCUCAUGAUCACUCAUCUUUGGAUGAGAUAGGAUCUAAACAAAGCCCCUACUAAUAUUGAGGUUGUAGUGGUCCACAGAUGAUGACACAGAUGCAUCUAUUGACAACAUGGAAGAGGAGGGUAGAUAUCAUGGAUGGGAAUGCGGCUACAGGUUCUCCAACAUAUGUUUGACUUUGUCAAUUUGUAUCAAAACCAGUUUCCCGAGAAAAUGUGGCACGACACGAGAGAGGCUACGGAUAAUGAAAUAGAUGUUUUGUUGAUGACGUUGAUGCCGAAGUUUUUUAGCGAGUUAGGUAUUUCGCUAGAUUAGCGUAUGUAGUUUAUUUAUACAAUUUAACGUAGUUUGUUAUGCGUUCACAAAUGAUUGUAGUUUGACGGGUUUAUCUCCGAAUUGGAUGUCUACGGGUUUAUUUUCGAUUUGAAUAUGUAUUGUUUUGGUUUGA